UGAUGAUGUCACGUCACGGGAGCUGUGCAUGAUGGGAGAAUAUCCCUUGCAUGAUGGGAGAAUAUCCCCAUAGGAGCUGGACAGGUCCCGGGACGUGAGUCAUCAGAAAGCAGUCAGACAGAAAACAGCAACUCAACUUCAGAAGCUAAUAACUAUUGAUGAGAAAGACGAGAAGAAGGUCAAGCAAGGCACUGAAGUACCCCUUCAAACAAACAGAGGAUCCGCUGGGUAUAAACAACAUGCAGAAAAAGUUGUCAUUCCAAGGAGAUGUACACAGAAGGUGGUAAAGUUUAUUGGAGCCCAGGAUCCGAGGAAUCCAGCGUGAGCACUUGACAUCUUUACUGAGGCGCACUCUGGAUGAAUACCAAUAAAGGGGAGAACCGCUCUGAUAUCCCCUCACGCAGAGACAGAAGACUUUCUUGGCAAACAAUCGCUGCUUUCCUGCAUAUUAUUAUUAA
This is a long non-coding RNA of Hyla sarda, 458 nucleotides long. RefSeq lists it as uncharacterized. NCBI's taxonomy places the organism in Eukaryota, Metazoa, Chordata, Amphibia, Anura, Hylidae. The transcript has 3 exons. The record is from RefSeq and is a predicted model, not a curated record.